RNAcentral lists this non-coding RNA (336 nucleotides) under Pterocles gutturalis (yellow-throated sandgrouse). RNAcentral describes it as "Eukaryotic large subunit ribosomal RNA". It matches the Rfam family "Eukaryotic large subunit ribosomal RNA", at positions 880 to 1211 of the family's 3401-position model. Lineage: Eukaryota; Metazoa; Chordata; Aves; Pterocliformes; Pteroclidae. The record is from Rfam by way of RNAcentral.
GCGGUCCUGACGUGCAAAUCGGUCGUCCGACCCGGGUCUAGGGGCGAAAGACUAAUCGAACCAUCUAGUAGCUGGUUCCCUCCGAAGUUUCCCUCAGGAUAGCUGGCACUCGUUGCGGGGCAGUUUUACCCGGUAAAGCGAAUGAUUAGAGGUCUUGGGGCCGAAACGAUCUCAACCUAUUCUCAAACUUUCAAUGGGUAAGGGGGCCGGCUCGCUGGCGUGGAGCCGUGCCGUGGAAUGCGAGUGCUCAGUGGGCCACUUUUGGUAAGCAGAACUGGCGCUGCGGGAUGAACCGAACGCUGGGUUAAGGCGCCCGAUGCCGACGCUCAUCAGAGC